GAUGAAGAACGCAGCGAAAUGCGAUACGUAAUGUGAAUUGCAGAAUUCAGUGAAUCAUCGAGUCUUUGAACGCACAUUGCGCCCCCUGGUAUUCCGGGGGGCAUGCCUGUCCGGGCGUCAUUGCUGCCCUCAAGCACGGCUUGUGUGUUGGGCCUCCGUCCUCCUCCCGGGGGACGGGCCCGAAAGGCAGCGGCGGCACCGCGUCCGGUCCUCGAGCGUAUGGGGCUUCGUCACCCGCUCUUGUAGGCCCGGCCGGCGCUUGCCGACACAUCAAUCUUUUUUCCAGGUUGACCUCGGACCAGGUAGGGAUACCCGCUGAACUUAAGCAUAUCAAUAAGCGGAGGA
Molecule: unclassified non-coding RNA, 345 nt
Filed under: soil metagenome
Description: partial contains 5.8S ribosomal RNA, internal transcribed spacer 2, and large subunit ribosomal RNA
Rfam family: 5.8S ribosomal RNA (bases 1-120)
Source: RNAcentral